RNAcentral lists this ribosomal RNA (253 nucleotides) under uncultured bacterium. RNAcentral's name for it is "partial 16S ribosomal RNA". It matches the Rfam family "Bacterial small subunit ribosomal RNA", at positions 524 to 776 of the family's 1533-position model. The record is from RNAcentral.
UACAGAGGGUGCGAGCGUUGUUCGGAAUUAUUGGGCGUAAAGCGCUUGUAGGUGGUUUUUUAAGUCGACUGUGAAAGCCCCUGGCUCAACCAGGGAAGUGCAGUCGAUACUGGGAGACUUGAGUGCCGGAGAGGGUCGCGGAAUUCCCGGUGUAGAGGUGAAAUUCGUAGAUAUCGGGAGGAACACCAGUGGCGAAGGCGGCGACCUGGACGGACACUGACACUGAGACGCGAAAGCGUGGGUAGCAAACAGG